This 497-nucleotide ribosomal RNA is filed under the name uncultured bacterium. Its description in RNAcentral is "partial 16S ribosomal RNA". It matches the Rfam family "Bacterial small subunit ribosomal RNA", at positions 28 to 507 of the family's 1533-position model. The record is from RNAcentral.
GAUGAACGCUGGCGGCGUGCCUAAUACAUGCAAGUCGAGCGAACAGACGAGGAGCUUGCUCCUCUGACGUUAGCGGCGGACGGGUGAGUAACACGUGGAGAACCUACCUAUAAGACUGGGAUAACUUCUGGAAACCAGAGCUAAUACCGCAUAAUAUAUUUAACCGCAUGGUUCAAUAUUGAAAGACGGUAUUGCUUUCACUUAUAAAUGGAUCCGCGCCGCUUUAGCUAGUUGGUAAGGUAACGCCUUACCAAGCGGACGUAGAGAAGCCGACCUGAGAGGGUGUUCGGCAAAAUUGGAACUGGGACACGGCCCAGACUCCUAGGGGAGGAAGCAGUAGGGAAUCUUCCGAAAUGGGCGAAGGCCUGCCGGAGAAACGCGGCGUGAGUGAUGAAGGUCUUCGGAUCGUAAAACUCUGUUAUUAGGGAAGACCAAAUGUGUAAGUAAAUAUGCACGUCUUGACGGUACCUAAUCAGAAAGCCACGGCUAACUACGUG